Molecule: ribosomal RNA, 279 nt
Filed under: Escherichia coli
Lineage: Bacteria; Pseudomonadati; Pseudomonadota; Gammaproteobacteria; Enterobacterales; Enterobacteriaceae
Description: partial 16S ribosomal RNA
Rfam family: Bacterial small subunit ribosomal RNA
Source: RNAcentral
UGCAAGUCGAACGGUAACAGGAAGCAGCUUGCUGCUUCGCUGACGAGUGGCGGACGGGUGAGUAAUGUCUGGGAAACUGCCUGAUGGAGGGGGAUAACUACUGGAAACGGUAGCUAAUACCGCAUAACGUCGCAAGACCAAAGAGGGGGACUUUCGGGCCUCUUGCCAUCGGAUGUGCCCAGAUGGGAUUAGCUAGUAGGUGGGGUAACGGCUCACCUAGGCGACGAUCCCUAGCUGGUCUGAGAGGAUGACCAGCCACACUGGAACUGAGACACGGUC